GAAAGCCGAGAAGGCUGCGAAGGAGAGUAGUCGGGCUUUGACGGUUUCGACGUAUGUGGAAAUUCGCCGGAGCAUGGCUCGCUUGAUGGAGGAACUUCCUAAGCUGCGCACGUUGGCUCAGAAAAAGGAUGCGCAUGUGAUUCGAGAUUUGGUGGGUAAAAAUGUAUGGGAAUUUUGAUUCAGCCAAUGGUGAUUAGCCAAGAUGGAGAUGGUGUGUACGGAUGAAGUGUGUGAGAAUACCUCCAAAUUUAUGUCACGUUCUUAUCUAAUUGCUGGCUUUCUCUCCAAAGUCGACAGUUUCUUGUGGUCGAAAAAAGUCGGUAGUUUCUUGUGGUCGAAAAAAGUCCAUAGUUUCUUGGUUUUGGAAAAAUGGUGUGGAUUGAGCCUGAUUGUUACUGUUUACUGUGUGUCUAUCAUCGACGCACGAGAUGAACAAACAAGAGUGGUUCUUGUAGUAAAGGAACAAAACAAUCAUCGUCAACGAAAUUGCAGAAGCUACAAGGAACUAGACUAGGACAGAGUGGAAGCAAACGCGCUUGCCUAGAGGCGAGGCGAAACGAGACAACUGUAACCUCGGUAGAUAUAUUCCAUGAGAUCUUGCAUUUCCUCUUUAUAAUACAGCUUAUGUUCCGAGACCAUUAGCAUCAGAGUUGGGACUCUACGAAGUUAUGCGUUAUGUUCCGAAGCAGAUAGAGAACCCGUUCACAUGAAUUCUCAAGGGGUUGCAUAGAAUCUAACGAUGAGCUUCUCUACUUUGAUGACUUGUCAUGAAUUUUCUUCUUUUUUCUUUGGGUUUGCUUCUUCAGUUCCUUAGGUAAUUUUUUUCUGUCACACUUCACCAGUUCUGCAUUCUCGAAGAAAAUAAGAUGUUCUGAAAAGGGCUUCAUGUAUCUUCUUUUUGUUAAUUCCUUCUUGUCUAUAUUAUCAUUUCAUAUCUCAUGUUCAUGUUUUACCCUGAACUGACAUAACCUUCUAACAUUUAUCCCGCUAAUGAUGUUUACGCUGCACUUUUUGGUUACUGAUGUGGAUUCGCUUUGACAAUAAAAAGCAAAAAACGUAACCAACGUGACCAAAUCCAAAAGCUAAAUAGUGAGUUGCACAGCGUGAGAAUAUCAUCCCGCAACGCGAGAGCAUGAAUUGGCGUCGGCAUGGUUCUUCAGAUACCAUAAGAGUGUGCCCAACAUAUAGCCUUAGUAUAUAACAUGGCAACCAUAGUGUGACUGUGUGAACGUCUUGGACCUAUAGACACGCACACCUACACAAACAUAAAGGAAUUUGGGUCGUACCCUUUAAUAUUGAUUAUUAUCACCACUAUUAUCUCUAAAGACUUGUAACAACAAAGUUGCUUAACUUGUAUUCAUAUUUUGGUUUAAUUACAGGUUAAAGGGCUGUCCCCUGAAGAACUAGAAACACGUAGUGAUCUGGUUUUUGCACUGCCUGAGAGGAUACCAGAUGGGACAGAAACUGCAGCCAAAAAAGCUGGGGAAUGGGGAACUUCAACAUCUCAUAAAAAUAUCAAACUUGACUCAUCAGAUGGGAACUUUGACAGUGAGUUUUUCCAGCAAAACAGAAGAAUCGAGUCAGUUCAGGAAGGAGUAUCAAAUGCGGAAACUAAAACAGACAGCUGCUUUUGAUUCUCCUGCAGUCCAGCUCUGCUGUUAUUUUGAUUGAGUUGGUCACUUGCUCAGGAUGAAGGUCUAGAUAUCAUCUCGGAAGGUUUGGGUACUUUGAAAGAUUUGGCCCAUGAUAUGAAUGCGGUUGAUCGAUGCACAUAACUCUGGUUCAUUGUGUUAUUGGAAGAAUUCAAACUUUGAUCGUUGUUUCGAUAUGUUCAGGAAUUGGACCGACAACUCCCACUAAUUGGUGAGAUAGAAACAAAAGUGAGAUUUUCUUCUCUAACUAGAAUCCUAAUCUUUCCGGCGACACCGGUGAGAGAUUGUGUUUGUAACAUUUUAAGUUCAUUACUUAGUGAUGGAGUUUUGAUGCUUUUACAGGUGGACAAGGUUACAUCUGACAUAAAAAGUAACAAUGUUAGGCUCAAGGAAAAUCUAAACAAGGUGAGAUCGAGCUGGAAUUUCAUCUUUGACGUUAUUUUGCUUUGUAUUGUUCUGGGAAUCGCCUUCUAUCUUUACAAGUAUUCUCUCUGUCUUUUUACUGAGAAAACCUUAAAAUCUAGUCCCCAAAUGCUAAGAAGCUUAUAUUUGUGAAAUUGGUUUCAUGUUCCGGAAAAUAACUCAUAAGACUGUUUAUGCCACAUUUAUUUCACGGAGUUGUCUAAGAAUUGAUUUUGCGUGUUCUGAAUGCUUUAACAUACUUUUCUUUCCUUGAAUAAAUGAGAUGUUCAACUGUUUUAUUUACUACUGCGAUGAAGUUACUUUAAAAAGACUUCAGCAGCUUAUCGGAUCAUAUCUGAUGUGGUAUUACAUUCUUCCAUUUCAUAAGGCUUUGCUAGCUUGUAUCUCUUUAACAUCUUCCGUUCAAGUACAACGUUAAUUAUCUAAUCGGGUUUUGGCUACUUGAAGAUGAUUAUAUACAGUUUCUUGCUCACGGUGGUUCUUUCUCCCAACAAUGUGGAAAAUUUGUAGUUUAGAUUUUAUUUAUGUCUGUACUUGUCCUUCAAUGAAUUUAUUGAGCAUCAAUUUGCCUUAAAUAGUUUUACAGUGCAUUGUUCGAUCCAAA
RNA transcript from Pyrus x bretschneideri (Chinese white pear), 2679 nucleotides. It is a transcript of the gene named syntaxin-71-like, with no coding region annotated. Lineage: Eukaryota; Viridiplantae; Streptophyta; Magnoliopsida; Rosales; Rosaceae. The record is from RefSeq and is a predicted model, not a curated record. The transcript has 5 exons.